Molecule: ribosomal RNA, 497 nt
Filed under: uncultured bacterium
Lineage: Bacteria
Description: partial 16S ribosomal RNA
Rfam family: Bacterial small subunit ribosomal RNA
Source: RNAcentral
GACGAACGCUGGCGGCGUGCCUAAUACAUGCAAGUUGAGCGAUGAAGAUUGGUGCUUGCACCAAUUUGAAGAGCAGCGAACGGGUGAGUAACGCGUGGGGAAUCUGCCUUUGAGCGGGGGACAACAUUUGGAAACGAAUGCUAAUACCGCAUAACAACUUUAAACAUAAGUUUUAAGUUUGAAAGAUGCAAUUGCAUCACUCAAAGAUGAUCCCGCGUUGUAUUAGCUAGUUGGUGAGGUAAAGGCUCACCAGGGCGAUGAUACAUAGCCGACCUGAGAGGGUGAUCGGCCACAUUGGGACUGAGACACGGCCCAAACUCCUACGGGAAGCAGCAGUAGGGAAUCUUCGGCAAUGGACGAAAGUCUGACCGAGCAACGCCGCGUGAGUGAAGAAGGUUUUCGGAUCGUAAAACUCUGUUGGUAGAGAAGAACGUUGGUGAGAGUGGAAAGCUCAUCAAGUGACGGUAACUACCCAGAAAGGGACGGCUAACUACGUG